RNAcentral lists this ribosomal RNA (497 nucleotides) under uncultured bacterium. RNAcentral describes it as "partial 16S ribosomal RNA". It matches the Rfam family "Bacterial small subunit ribosomal RNA", at positions 28 to 507 of the family's 1533-position model. The record is from RNAcentral.
GAUGGACGCUGGCGGCGUGCCUAAUACAUGCAAGUCGAGCGAACAGACGAGGAGCUUGCUCCUCUGACGUUAGCGGCGGACGGGUGAGUAACACGUGGAUAACCUACCUAUAAGACUGGGAUAACUUCGGGAAACCGGAGCUAAUACCGGAUAAUAUAUUGAACCGCAUGGUUCAAUAGUGAAAGACGGUUUUGCUGUCACUUAUAGAUGGAUCCGCGCCGCAUUAGCUAGUUGGUAAGGUAACGGCUUACCAAGGCAACGAUGCGUAGCCGACCUGAGAGGGUGAUCGGCCACACUGGAACUGAGACACGGUCCAGACUCCUACGGGAGGCAGCAGUAGGGAAUCUUCCGCAAUGGGCGAAAGCCUGACGGAGCAACGCCGCGUGAGUGAUGAAGGUCUUCGGAUCGUAAAACUCUUUUAUUAGGGAAGAACAAAUGUGUAAGUAACUAUGCACGUCUUGACGGUACCUAAUCAGAAAGCCACGGCUAACUACGUG